GCCGGGUGUGUUGGCUUACGCCUGUAAUCCCAGCACUUUGGGAGGCCGAGAUGGGUGGAUCACUUGAGGUCAGGAGUUUGAGACCAGCCUGACCAAUAUGGUGAGACCCCAUCUCUA
This is a non-coding RNA of Pan troglodytes (chimpanzee), 117 nucleotides long. It matches the Rfam family "Metazoan signal recognition particle RNA". Rfam says of the family: The signal recognition particle (SRP) is a universally conserved ribonucleoprotein. It is involved in the co-translational targeting of proteins to membranes. The record is from Rfam. Lineage: Eukaryota; Metazoa; Chordata; Mammalia; Primates; Hominidae.